This 363-nucleotide ribosomal RNA is filed under the name uncultured Sphingobacterium sp. RNAcentral's name for it is "bacterial SSU rRNA". It matches the Rfam family "Bacterial small subunit ribosomal RNA", at positions 9 to 369 of the family's 1533-position model. The record is from RNAcentral. Lineage: Bacteria; Pseudomonadati; Bacteroidota; Sphingobacteriia; Sphingobacteriales; Sphingobacteriaceae.
GAGUUUGAUCAUGGCUCAGGAUGAACGCUAGCGGCAGGCUUAACACAUGCAAGUCGAGGGGCAGCGCGGGUAGCAAUACCUGGCGGCGACCGGCAAACGGGUGCGGAACACGUACAGAACCUACCUUGAUCUGGGGCAUAGCCCGGAGAAAUCCGGAUUAACUCCCCAUAAUAUAAUUGGAAGGCAUCUUUAGUUAUUAAAAUUUAAUUGGAUCAAGAUGGCUGUGCGUCCCAUUAGCUAGUUGGUAGGGUAACGGCCUACCAAAGGCGACGAUGGGUAGCUGGUGUGAGAGCACGACCAGCCACACGGGCACUGAGACACGGGCCCGACUCCUACGGGAGGCAGCAGUGAGGAAUAUUGGUC